Molecule: transfer RNA, 72 nt
Filed under: Camelus bactrianus (Bactrian camel)
Lineage: Eukaryota; Metazoa; Chordata; Mammalia; Artiodactyla; Camelidae
Also listed under: 1 other name
Rfam family: tRNA
About the family: Transfer RNA (tRNA) molecules are approximately 80 nucleotides in length. Their secondary structure includes four short double-helical elements and three loops (D, anti-codon, and T loops). Further hydrogen bonds mediate the characteristic L-shaped molecular structure. tRNAs have two regions of fundamental functional importance: the anti-codon, which is responsible for specific mRNA codon recognition, and the 3' end, to which the tRNAs corresponding amino acid is attached (by aminoacyl-tRNA synthetases). tRNAs cope with the degeneracy of the genetic code in two manners: having more than one tRNA (with a specific anti-codon) for a particular amino acid; and 'wobble' base-pairing, i.e. permitting non-standard base-pairing at the 3rd anti-codon position.
Source: Rfam by way of RNAcentral
GAGGGUAUAGCUCAGUGGUAGAUUGCAUGCUUAGCAUGCAUGAGGUCCUAGGUUCAGUCCCCAGUGCCUCCA